This 31-nucleotide non-coding RNA is filed under the name Mus musculus (house mouse). Lineage: Eukaryota; Metazoa; Chordata; Mammalia; Rodentia; Muridae. The record is from RNAcentral.
UACUUCUUCAUGAACAAGACAAGAUGGCGCC